RNAcentral lists this microRNA (23 nucleotides) under Daphnia pulex (common water flea). Its description in RNAcentral is "dpu-miR-124". Its record names the gene dpu-miR-124. The record is from miRBase by way of RNAcentral. RNAcentral also lists the same sequence under 20 other names. Lineage: Eukaryota; Metazoa; Arthropoda; Branchiopoda; Diplostraca; Daphniidae.
UAAGGCACGCGGUGAAUGCCAAG